This 355-nucleotide ribosomal RNA is filed under the name uncultured bacterium. RNAcentral describes it as "bacterial SSU rRNA". It matches the Rfam family "Bacterial small subunit ribosomal RNA", at positions 1026 to 1382 of the family's 1533-position model. The record is from RNAcentral.
ACGCUAGUACAGGUGGUGCAUGGCUGUCGUCAGCUCGUGUCGUGAGAUGUUCGGGUUAAGUCCCGCAACGAGCGCAACCCUUACCCUUAGUUGUUUUCCCGAAAGGAUUACCCUCUAAGGGGACUGCCCCGGACAACGGGAGGAAGGUGGGGAUGACGUCAAGUCCGCAUGCUCCUUACGUCUAGGGCUACACACGUCCUACAAUGGGGUCGACAGUGGGAUGCAAAGCCGCGAGGUGGAGCCAAUCCCCAAACGGCCUCUCAGUUCGGAUAGUAGUCUGCAACUCGACUACUUGAAGUCGGAAUCGCUAGUAAUGGCGGAUCAGCAUGCCGCCGUGAAUACGUUCCCGGGUCUU